RNAcentral lists this ribosomal RNA (1437 nucleotides) under uncultured organism. RNAcentral describes it as "SSU rRNA". It matches the Rfam family "Bacterial small subunit ribosomal RNA". The record is from RNAcentral.
ACGCUAGCUACAGGCUUAACACAUGCAAGUCGAGGGGCAGCAUGGUCUUAGCUUGCUAAGACUGAUGGCGACCGGCGCACGGGUGAGUAACACGUAUCCAACCUGCCGUCUACUCUUGGACAGCCUUCUGAAAGGAAGAUUAAUACAAGAUGGCAUCAUGAGUCCGCAUGUUCACAUGAUUAAAGGUAUUCCGGUAGACGAUGGGGAUGCGUUCCAUUAGAUAGUAGGCGGGGUAACGGCCCACCUAGUCUUCGAUGGAUAGGGGUUCUGAGAGGAAGGUCCCCCACAUUGGAACUGAGACACGGUCCAAACUCCUACGGGAGGCAGCAGUGAGGAAUAUUGGUCAAUGGGCGAGAGCCUGAACCAGCCAAGUAGCGUGAAGGAUGACUGCCCUAUGGGUUGUAAACUUCUUUUAUAAAGGAAUAAAGUCGGGUAUGCAUACCCGUUUGCAUGUACUUUAUGAAUAAGGAUCGGCUAACUCCGUGCCAGCAGCCGCGGUAAUACGGAGGAUCCGAGCGUUAUCCGGAUUUAUUGGGUUUAAAGGGAGCGUAGAUGGAUGUUUAAGUCAGUUGUGAAAGUUUGCGGCUCAACCGUAAAAUUGCAGUUGAUACUGGAUAUCUUGAGUGCAGUUGAGGCAGGCGGAAUUCGUGGUGUAGCGGUGAAAUGCUUAGAUAUCACGAAGAACUCCGAUUGCGAAGGCAGCCUGCUAAGCUGCAACUGACAUUGAGGCUCGAAAGUGUGGGUAUCAAACAGGAUUAGAUACCCUGGUAGUCCACACGGUAAACGAUGAAUACUCGCUGUUUGCGAUAUACGGCAAGCGGCCAAGCGAAAGCGUUAAGUAUUCCACCUGGGGAGUACGCCGGCAACGGUGAAACUCAAAGGAAUUGACGGGGGCCCGCACAAGCGGAGGAACAUGUGGUUUAAUUCGAUGAUACGCGAGGAACCUUACCCGGGCUUAAAUUGCAGAUGAAUUACGGUGAAAGCCGUAAGCCGCAAGGCAUCUGUGAAGGUGCUGCAUGGUUGUCGUCAGCUCGUGCCGUGAGGUGUCGGCUUAAGUGCCAUAACGAGCGCAACCCUUGUUGUCAGUUACUAACAGGUUCCGCUGAGGACUCUGACAAGACUGCCAUCGUAAGAUGUGAGGAAGGUGGGGAUGACGUCAAAUCAGCACGGCCCUUACGUCCGGGGCUACACACGUGUUACAAUGGGGGGUACAGAGGGCCGCUACCACGCGAGUGGAUGCCAAUCCCCAAAACCUCUCUCAGUUCGGACUGGAGUCUGCAACCCGACUCCACGAAGCUGGAUUCGCUAGUAAUCGCGCAUCAGCCACGGCGCGGUGAAUACGUUCCCGGGCCUUGUACACACCGCCCGUCAAGCCAUGGGAGCCGGGGGUACCUGAAGUGCGUAACCGCGAGGAGCGCCCUAGGGUAAAACUGGUGA